AUGGAACUCCUUAUGGCAAUGGCGUCCGCUCCAUGGCCAUCACCUCCUUGUCGCCGGUGACACAACUUACCGACAGCAUACCUUUCUCCAUCACUCGUGACGCAGCUUGACGAUGAUGAAGACACACCAGCCGCUAGCAGCAUCAUGCCGCCAACGGCGUCCACCUUCGCGCCACCGACGUCCCCCUCACAUGGAGUCCGCCGCGUCGCCUCCACCGUGUCCACCAUGGCAACCGCAACGCCGCGCACCUUCAUAGGCCGACACACGGUCCGGAGCUUCGCGCGGCCGCCGACGAACGCCGUCCUCACCGGCACGCCUCCGGCAUGACGAACG
This 333-nucleotide long non-coding RNA is filed under the name Hordeum vulgare. RNAcentral's name for it is "long non-coding RNA (HVUL_LNC006633)". The record is from RNAcentral. Lineage: Eukaryota; Viridiplantae; Streptophyta; Magnoliopsida; Poales; Poaceae.